RNAcentral lists this long non-coding RNA (1511 nucleotides) under Ursus maritimus (polar bear). Its description in RNAcentral is "lncRNA (ENSUMAG00000017389.1)". The record is from RNAcentral. Lineage: Eukaryota; Metazoa; Chordata; Mammalia; Carnivora; Ursidae.
UUUUGAGCAGAGGAAUGAUAGGCUCUGUUCCCUGAGUUGAGGCCCAGCGGGAGACAAGGGUGUGCAAGUGGGGACACAGAGUCAAGCACGUUAUUGGGAGAAUUUUGAAGUUCAGGGGUCAUGUGACACCCAAGUGCAAGUGUCCAGUAUCUCUGAGCUCCUGAAAGGGCUCCCCAGAGCCACCAGCGUGACCUUUCUCAAGAACUUCUGUCACUGCGUGCCACCCUGCUCAGCUGCUCUCCCGCUGCUCAGCCGUGUGUGUUCUGUCUUCCUCCACCGGUUCUCACCACACACCAUAUGGCUCUUCCUCGCGGACCCGAGCUUGGGCUUCACAGCUGUCUACAGGCCUCACCCAGGCAAGCGGGGUCCUGCAGGUGGCUCACCGGCCCUCCAGCCAGCAGCCCUGCUCUCAGCACACUGUGAGCCCAGCAUUGCUCCCCGGAGACACGUGGCCCGAAGGCCCCCCAGGACCUCCGCUCUGCCACUUCCCUACAGCCCGCCAAGCAUGCGUCGAGGGGGGGGGGGGGGGAUUCCAAAUGCGAUGGGAUCGUGUGCGUCUAAUUCUAGAACAUUGACAGACUUGUAGCGCAGGUACAGAACGACACGUUUUUACCCAUUUUUCCAUCCUCUUGCAGCAUCAGGUGAGGCAGGCCCAGUGCGGAGGAUCUGGUGUGGACUCUGGAGUCACAGGGACACACGUGUGUGUCCCUGCUCUGCAUCUCCUCACGGCAACUUGCAUGCUCCUUAAGUUCUCGAAACCUUAGCGUCUUCAUCUGUGAGCUGAGCUAACGAGGACCUCUCACACAGAGGUAUCAGUUGAUACCAUCUGUCUUUGUUAUCUCUCAAGGCUUAACAAAUCAGCCCAAAAUUUAGUGGCUGAAGACAGCAACCGUGGUUCAUUAGCGCUCACGGGUUUUGUGGGUCAGGAAUUGUGGGUCAGGAAUUUAAGAGCAGGUGUGCCGGCUCAGAGUCUCUCAUGGGGUGGCGGUUGGUUGGUGGUCUGAGCUGGGCUCAUUCCAAAGGCUUCUUCACUCACGUGUCUGGUACCUGGGCUGGGCAGACACACAGCAGGAGCUGGAGCGGCUGGGCCUCCCUCAGCCUCUCCCUCUGUCCCCAGGGGGUGUUGGCCCAGGGCUCUCUGGCAUGACGCCUUCAGAGUCACCGGAAGUCUUACGUCAUAGAUCAAGGCUCCCAAGGCACGUGUCCUGAGAGAAACAGGGGCAGCUGUAUCACCUUGACCAGCCUGGUCCCUUGAAGUCACACAACAUCAUGUCCACUGCCUUCUGUUCCCUAGAAGCAUGUCACCAGAGAUGCCCGGGUGGCUCAGUCAGUGAAGCAUCUGCCUUCAGCUCAGGUCAUGAUCCCAGGGUCCUGGAACCAACUCCCACAUCGGGCUCCCUGCUCAGCGGAGAGUCUGCUUCUCCCUCUCCCUCUGCCUGCCGCUCCCCCUGCUCAUUCUCUCUCUCUCCCUCGCAAAUAAAUAAAAUCUUAAAUUAAAAAAAAAAAAAAAG